GGUGGUAUAGCAUAGAAUCAUAGCAUUCGACUGCAGAUCGAAUGUUCCCGGUUCAAUUCCGGGUACCCUUU
Aphelenchus avenae is the source of this 71-nucleotide non-coding RNA. The record is from the annotation of a GenBank genome assembly. NCBI's taxonomy places the organism in Eukaryota, Metazoa, Nematoda, Chromadorea, Rhabditida, Aphelenchidae.